RNAcentral lists this long non-coding RNA (1176 nucleotides) under Salmo salar (Atlantic salmon). RNAcentral's name for it is "lncRNA (ENSSSAG00000083086.1)". The record is from RNAcentral. Lineage: Eukaryota; Metazoa; Chordata; Actinopteri; Salmoniformes; Salmonidae.
CAUCCUGGCCCUUUAACUAACAGCAUCCUGGCCCUUUAACUAACAGCAUCCUGGCCCUUUAACUAACAGCAUCCUGGCCCUUUAACUAACAGCAUCCUGGCCCUUUAACUAACAGCAUCCUGGCCCUUUAACUAACAGCAUCCUUUUUAAACCUGACCGGGCGACUGUCUGUAUAUAUUAGAAUGUUUAUUUAGAUUUGUUUUAAACCCAAUACUUUUAGUGAAUGUUUAGCACCGCAUUAGAGAUUGACUGAAAUAAGUCACUGGUAAAUACAUGCUUCACAAUCUAGUUUAAAGUCUCCAACUUGUUUAAAAUCUUCUUAUUUUCCUCUUUAUCUUAAUGGAUGUUUUAUUUAUUUUUGCUUAUUGCUUUAAUUGAAGCUCUUGUUUUGUCUCGUCUUUUUUUGUGUGUGUGUGGUAGCUGUUGUCAUUCUUCGAUUUAUUUAGCUCUCAAUGGUGGUUUGUUUUUGUAAGUCGCUGCAGGGUCCGUAUCCACAAAAGCAUCUCUGCUGAUCUAGGAUCAGGUUAUCAUUUUAGAUCAAACACAAUGCAUUGUGGUUAUUUUUAUGAAUACGAUUACAUUAGACAGAUCCUAGAUCAGCAAUUCUCCUCUGGGAUUCUUUUUAGGCUUUGAGCCCAGGUCCUUAAACCCCAUUCUGUAUCUAACCUUGUAGCCAUGUAGACUGUUUUAUUUAAAAACAUGAUCUAUUGAGCAUCAAAGCAGUCAAUGAGGAGGAGUCAUUCAGCCAUAACCAAAGUGACCUGCUUUAAUCAGUGUUUAAAUUUUUUAACUCUUAUUACUGUGGUCCGUUACUUUUGUUUCUGUACAAGUUAUGUUCGCUAUUUGAUACUGAGUUUUCUCUUAUCUAAGCAGUGAAGUUGAAGUUCAGUAUUAGUUUUGGUUUCUGUUUGGGUCCUAUUGAGGUUGGGAGCUAACAGACACUAGUGUUAAGGGCUCUAUUAUGUUAAAGCCUCUACCAUCAGAUGGGUAUGAUAGUCUCACCUGCAGUGUUUUGUACAGUCCCCAUGGUGUUUCACUGUGUACUUCAUGGUUUCACGUGAAAUUGUUUAAUUUCAAUGUAAAUUAUUUGUAAUAUUUUACCUUUUUUUGCUUUUUUGCAUUCAUACAAAAUGUCUAUUUUACUAAGAAUUUGUAAUAAAGGUGUUUUACAUAUUG